This 257-nucleotide ribosomal RNA is filed under the name uncultured bacterium. RNAcentral's name for it is "partial 16S ribosomal RNA". It matches the Rfam family "Bacterial small subunit ribosomal RNA", at positions 524 to 776 of the family's 1533-position model. The record is from RNAcentral.
UACGUAGGGGGGCAAGCGUUGUCCGGAUUUAUUGGGCGUAAAGAGCGUGUAGGCGGCCAAGCAGGUCCGCUGUGAAAAACUCGAGGCUCAACCUCGAGACGUCGGUGGAAACCGUUUGGCUAGAGUCCGGAAGAGGAGAGUGGAAUUCCCGGUGUAGCGGUGAAAUGCGCAGAUAUCGGGAAGAACACCAAUGGCGAAAGCAGCUCUCUGGGACGGUACUGACGCUGAGACGCGAAAAGCGUGGGGGAGCGAACAGG